GAACUCACUGCCCGACCCUGUUAAACGAAUAUGUGAGAGGAUGGUACAUCUCAGUGAUUAUUACUAUAUUUUGUUGAAUAUAAUCAAAUGUCUUCCUCAUCAUAUAUUCUAUAGAAGGUGAACCCGGGAACGUUUUCUGGCGAUGGUUUAAGAGAUCCUUGCCUCCCCAGCUCGCCUUUCUUCGCGUCCCCGUCUUUUCCUUAGAACUCCUCCGCUUUCUUUACCCCUAUUCAAAGUUCCAGUUCGAUAUGUUGUGCCUGUCCCGCCCUUCGUCGCCUCUGCCGCCGCGGCCUGGGUGUGGCGGCGGACGCGGUCCCGAGGGCGGCGGCGGGAGGGAGCUGGGACGCGGUCAAAGGCGGAGCGGCAGGGGCGAAGUCGGCCGUGCAGUCGGCGGCGACUGGGGGUAGCAGUUCAUGUGCCCGUAAAGAACGCCGGACAAGCACCGACCCACGAAAGAACCGAGCCGACGGCGUCCUAGCCCACUGCGGUGUCAAAUUAGUGGUAAAAGAACCGAUGCAAGAAGCUUAACCACAUGGACAACGGAACAACCCUUCUACCUAACGCACGUUCGAACGCUCGGGAGGUUAAUUCAAGUACGUACUAUUCAUAAAGGAACCCCCUAUAUAUCAUGAUGUGAGUUCGAUUUUAAAGAUAUAUAAUACGUGUUAUUGAUUAUAAACGCAGAAGAAGGAGAUCUCACGACGACUUACCUAGUGUUCCAAGAGGUAAACACGUAUCUGCUCCCGACGCCGUCCCUCUGAGGUACAACGGAGACGAAAAAUAAGAACGGUACCUCGGGGACGUUGCCUACGAAAGCUACCGGUGUCUCUCCCGCCACGAAUGUGGAAACUCUUAGUCCCGACGAGCAAACGCUAGGUCAAAGAUGCGGCUACUACGUCGAAACAAGUAGUUGGGCCAACGGGUUCUAAAACGACGACAAGUACGGUAGGAUUUUCAGAAACCCCUGCGAAGACCCGACGCCCGGUUGUAGCCGUUCUGGCACCGUAUAGGAUAGAGGACGCGACUUUAAUUACAACUCUUAUAUAACGUACUAAAACCACCCUAUGACCCGAGAGAGGGUACAGUUAUAAACCCUAAUGGUGAACCCAAAGCAUUUGGCGCCUCCCGUCUCGAAGUUGGCCAGGAGCUGUUUCAACGCCCCUUCGAACGAGGAUCCUUCCCUUCCAAUAAUUUGUCCUACCCUUCCGACCACAUGUAGUUAAGACACCAAUGCCGUUGGCGGUGAAAGAAGAACUGCCAGAAGGGCGGACUGUUCACCGAGUGGUUUUUCCACCUGUUCGACUCCUCUUUAAAGGAUACCACACGCCUCCUACUUAGUCAUCCCUCCUUUUCGGAACAUUUAAUCUUUGCUCACACACGGGGGUUCGCAAAACCACCGGAUCCUCACUUCCUAUAUCUAACAAAGUCAUCCCGGAACGCGUAAGCUACCCUUACCAAGUCCACCCGACUUCUCCUAUCCGGUACCUUCCCAUGUCGCUGAGGUACACUACUGUGACUAGCCGUUGAGAAGAGGUCGACGUGAACGUAGCUCAACCCUCUACCAUCACAACGUUGGAAGACCUUUCUAGCCACCGAGUUACCGCUCCGGGGUGUCGUGGAUCGUGGCCUAUAGAAGUUCGACCGAUCCACAUUUGCCGAGUGCCAGUUUCUCCGAUAUUCGUGACCCGCUACCUACGUUCCAUAUGUCGCUUACCUGUCGGUGCUCGUCGAUACAGUUAAACAACCGGACACCCUUUUUAACGUCGGCCACUUGAACAGUUGAGUUUCCCUGUUUUAGUUGAUCUUAUAGAGACGGUUACCUUAUAUGAGCCGCUCAAGACGAAUACCCCAGGUUAAGAGACGGUCCUAACUCGUUGGACUCUAACGGGCCCACACCUCUUCGUUCGAUCUUCCCUUCCACUUUAAGAUGUACACCGAAGACGACGUCUUGUCUUUGACCUGACGGCUGGCCGAUGUCCGCUCUCCUACCGGUGUAUUGCGGAGAACGUUUAAAACACUGGUCCUCGUCCUCUGGCGCUACGUAGAGUGCGAAGUUACGACAAUACGUUCUCUCCAGACCGUAGAGAGGGAACCACGGUUGUCGUCCUACAUGUUACCACACAGAAGCCGUUCAAGUCAAAGUCUAACCACCUUCUACGAAACAUGCGUUUCUCCUCGUGGUCGUUCCUGCCUCCUUCUCUAUUGAGACAGCCGCAUGUAGCGGACCGUAGAUACCUUCCUCUCUUUGGCAGCUCAAAAACUCCUAUUCCUGGACUGUGGCUCCCGCAACCAUUUGUACUAAGCACUACUGCAAUGUAACGAGUCACUCCGAAACUCUGGAUGGGUAUGCCGUCUCCCCAUCACGUACAAGAAGUCCUCACGAAAGGCUAUCCGUUGACAUAUACAAACACAAGCAAAAUACGAGCCCCACGAAUUGUGGGGAGGGGAUAUGAAACAUGAAAAAGGGAAGUGAUAUUACGUUUUCGUCUCGAGGACGAUAAGGGCAGUUUUUUUUUCUUUAAGUAAGUGGAACUUUGAGAUGAAGAAGGUCCCUUUCUUUAAUGUUUUUAUCAGUACUAUCUUGAUUACCAUGUUCCAAUUACCUACGUUUUCUGUGUCCAAUGACUUUUCAACCCGAUCUCAUAUACAUACCUUUCUAGUCUAUGUUUGUUAAUCCGAUCCAUCAUCAUUGUUUAAUAUACGAGUUUAACCUCUGGACGAGACAUGGGGUCUAGUCAAACAUACAUUCGAACCAUCUAAAACAGAAACCUGAGAUAGUAUCUGCUUAGUGUCGAUACUCACAAGAAAACUACCUACUAUAACACGAAACUAUAUAAACUAUAUAAACUAUAACACUAAAACAAGAUUAUCAUAGUAUCUGCUUAGUAUCGAUUCGUCCCUCUACAGUGUGAAACUAUAUAAACUAACUAUAACACGAUCGUGAACCUCCGUUACUUUCUUCGUUCUGUAAUUGAGCACCCUUACCAAGGUAAUCCACCGAGAAUGUACGUUUCAGUAACAAACUUCGAAAAACUGAGUUCUUCAU
RNAcentral lists this ribosomal RNA (3046 nucleotides) under Triticum aestivum (bread wheat). Its description in RNAcentral is "partial small subunit ribosomal RNA". Lineage: Eukaryota; Viridiplantae; Streptophyta; Magnoliopsida; Poales; Poaceae. The record is from RNAcentral.